RNAcentral lists this ribosomal RNA (497 nucleotides) under uncultured bacterium. Its description in RNAcentral is "partial 16S ribosomal RNA". It matches the Rfam family "Bacterial small subunit ribosomal RNA", at positions 28 to 507 of the family's 1533-position model. The record is from RNAcentral.
GAUGAACGCUGGCGGCGUGCCUAAUACAUGCAAGUCGAGCGAACAGACGAGGAGCUUGCUCCUCUGACGUUAGCGGCGGACGGGUGAGUAACACGUGGAUAACCUACCUAUAAGACUGGGAUAAUUUCGGGAAACCGGAGCUAAUACCGGAUAAUAUAUUGAACCGCAUGGUUCAAUAGUGAAAGACGGUUUUGCUGUCACUUAUAGAUGGAUCCGCGCCGCAUUAGCUAGUUGGUAAGGUAACGGCUUACCAAGGCGACGAUGCGUAGCCGACCUGAGAGGGUGAUCGGCCACACUGGAACUGAGACACGGUCCAGACUCCUACGGGAGGCAGCAGUAGGGAAUCUUCCGCAAUGGGCGCAAGCCUGACGGAGCAACGCCGCGUGAGUGAUGAAGGUCUUCGGAUCGUAAAACUCUGUUAUUAGGGAAGAACAAAUGUGUAAGUAACUAUGCACGUCUUGACGGUACCUAAUCAGAAAGCCACGGCUAACUACGUG